Molecule: ribosomal RNA, 128 nt
Filed under: uncultured Synechococcus sp.
Lineage: Bacteria; Bacillati; Cyanobacteriota; Cyanophyceae; Synechococcales; Synechococcaceae
Description: partial 23S ribosomal RNA
Source: RNAcentral
GUCAAGCUACAAAGGGCUCCCCGGCGGAUAACCUUGGUCACACACAAGGCGAUGAAAGGAGAUGGGGUUACCUGGCGAUUAGUACUCGGGGAAGCUGGGGAGACACGCCCUUCUUAUUCUGUGAAUUC